CAGCUCGUGUUGUGAAAUGUUGGGUUAAGUCCCGCAACGAGCGCAACCCUUAUCCUUGUUUGCCAGCGAGUAAUGUCGGGAACUCCAGGGAGACUGCCGGUGAUAAACCGGAGGAAGGUGGGGACGACGUCAAGUCAUCAUGGCCCUUACGAGUAGGGCUACACACGUGCUACAAUGGCGCAUACAGAGGGCGGCCAACUUGCGAAAGUGAGCGAAUCCCAAAAAGUGCGUCGUAGUCCGGAUUGGAGUCUGCAACUCGACUCCAUGAAGUCGGAAUCGCUAGUAAUCGU
Molecule: ribosomal RNA, 290 nt
Filed under: Vibrio parahaemolyticus
Lineage: Bacteria; Pseudomonadati; Pseudomonadota; Gammaproteobacteria; Vibrionales; Vibrionaceae
Description: partial 16S ribosomal RNA
Rfam family: Bacterial small subunit ribosomal RNA
Source: RNAcentral